Molecule: ribosomal RNA, 497 nt
Filed under: uncultured bacterium
Lineage: Bacteria
Description: partial 16S ribosomal RNA
Rfam family: Bacterial small subunit ribosomal RNA
Source: RNAcentral
GAUGAAUGCUGGCGGCGUGCCUAAUACAUGCAAGUCGAGCGAACAGACGAGGAGCUUGCUCCUCUGACGUUAGCGGCAGACGGGUGAGUAACACGUGGAUAACCUACCUAUAAGACUGGGAUAACUUCGGGAAACCGGAGCUAAUACCGGAUAAUAUAUUGAACCGCAUGGUUCAAUAGUGAAAGACGGUUUUGCUGUCACUUAUAGAUGGAUCCGCGCCGCAUUAGCUAGUUGGUAAGGUAACGGCUUACCAAGGCGACGAUGCGUAGCCGACCUGAGAGGGUGAUCGGCCACACUGGAACUGAGACACGGUCCAGACUCCUACGGGAGGCAGCAGUAGGGAAUCUUCCGCAAUGGGCGAAAGCUUGACGGAGCAACGCCGCGUGAGUGAUGAAGGUCUUCGGAUCGUAAAACUCUGUUAUUAGGGAAGAACAAAUGUGUAAGUAACUAUGCACGUCUUGACGGUACCUAAUCAGAAAGCCACGGCUAACUACGUG